This 629-nucleotide ribosomal RNA is filed under the name uncultured bacterium. Its description in RNAcentral is "bacterial SSU rRNA". The stretch from base 1 to 531 matches the Rfam family "Bacterial small subunit ribosomal RNA", at positions 338 to 873 of the family's 1533-position model. The record is from RNAcentral.
CCUACGGGAGGCAGCAGUGGGGAAUCUUGCGCAAUGGCCGAGAGGCUGACGCAGCGACGCCGCGUGGGGGAUGAAGCAUUUCGGUGUGUAAACCCCUGUUGCUCGGGACGAACGACCCUUUUCGAGGGGUGUGACGGUACCGAGUGAGGAAGCACCGGCUAACUCCGUGCCAGCAGCCGCGGUAAUACGGAGGGUGCGAGCGUUGUCCGGAAUCACUGGGCGUAAAGGGCGCGUAGGUGGUUGGAUGCGCCGGUGGUGAAAGCGCAGGGCUCAACCCUGCGUCGGCCAUCGGGACGGUCCGACUGGAGCACUGUAGAGGCAGGUGGAAUUCCGGGUGUAGCGGUGGAAUGCGUAGAGAUCCGGAAGAACACCGGUGGCGAAGGCGGCCUGCUGGGCAGUUGCUGACACUGAGGCGCGACAGCGUGGGGAGCAAACAGGAUUAGAUACCCUGGUAGUCCACGCCGUAAACGAUGGGCACUAGGUGCUUGGGGGAGCGACCCCCUGNGUGCGACGCACGCAUAGUCGCCCGCCGUCGGGAGGUACGACCGCGAAGGUUAAGGUAAACGUUAAAGGUUAAAGUUAGUACGGCGUUGAGACGUUCGCCGACGGACGACGACGAGGGGAGGAGG